Long non-coding RNA from Mauremys mutica (yellowpond turtle), 303 nucleotides. RefSeq lists it as uncharacterized. Lineage: Eukaryota; Metazoa; Chordata; Testudines; Geoemydidae. The transcript has 3 exons. The record is from RefSeq and is a predicted model, not a curated record.
UGAGGAAACACCAUACAAUCAAGCAGUAUCAGACACCAGGAGGAUCCUAUGGAGCUACUGGAAAGCUCUGGAAGGCCAGCUGUGAAGAGCCUGGUAGUUUUCCACAGACUGAGAAGUGUAAAACCUAGAGCUCGGAGAUCAAAUGCAUUGUCAAGAUAAUACAUACAGACGCCAUCAGCCUUGAAAGCCAAAUCCUUAAAACCAGUCUCGAUUCCAGCACUUCCUUGGGGCACUGCUGAACUGAUGGAUUCAUCCAUUUCUUUUUCCAAAAAAGGAAUAGUUUCAAGCAUAUAUAGCUCUGGU